Molecule: ribosomal RNA, 253 nt
Filed under: uncultured bacterium
Lineage: Bacteria
Description: partial 16S ribosomal RNA
Rfam family: Bacterial small subunit ribosomal RNA
Source: RNAcentral
UACGUAGGGAGCGAGCGUUAUCCGGAAUUAUUGGGUGUAAAGGGUGCGUAGACGGGAAGAUAAGUUAGUUGUGAAAUCCCUCGGCUUAACUGAGGAACUGCAACUAAAACUGUUUUUCUUGAGUGCAGGAGAGGUAAGUGGAAUUCCUAGUGUAGCGGUGAAAUGCGUAGAUAUUAGGAGGAACACCAGUGGCGAAGGCGACUUACUGGACUGUAACUGACGUUGAGGCACGAAAGUGUGGGGAGCAAACAGG